Molecule: long non-coding RNA, 35761 nt
Filed under: Triticum aestivum (bread wheat)
Lineage: Eukaryota; Viridiplantae; Streptophyta; Magnoliopsida; Poales; Poaceae
Description: long non-coding RNA (TAES_LNC007583)
Rfam family: MIR1120/MIR1122 microRNA precursor family (bases 6300-6427)
Source: RNAcentral
UAGACAUCUGAAAAUUCAGCUGAAGAUAGUUUUAGCAGCAUGAUGUAAACUCAAUCGAAGGGGUUGACGCAGUGUAUGAAAAACCUUUCCUGUGAUCUUGGCGCGGAGCAAAAUUUGUACUGAUUUUACCGGGAAAAAUCAAUCAAUGACAGCAUGCCCAACAAUGUCUUGUGUGAAUAUGUUACUGCCUGAUAUUCACAUGUUAGCAGAAUGAGAAUAACCAACCAAACUCCAAUGAGCAGAUUGUUAAAGUAACAGCCACUGGUGGUGUGAAAAUCCUGAAAUCUGCUUCAGUCACUUUGCCUUGUUUACAGUUGAGUCUGUUGUUGUGAUCUGUACCCAAUGCAUGUACACAAUCAUCAAAUUAUUAGUUUUUUUACCAAUGUGUGCUCGAUGUAAUCAUCAUGUAUUCCCUCCUUCCAAAAUACGAGUCAUAUAUAUUAGUUUUGUCUUAAUUUGAACUUACAUCAACACCUACAAUACCCAAUCAGUAUCAGUAGAUGCACCUGUUUCUGUAGUGUAUUUAUUUGGUAUUGCAAGUGCUGGUAUUUCUCUUUUUUUUUGCUGAACUUUUAUGUUUGACUUAAAGACAACUAAUACGACUUAUAUUUGGGACGGCGGAAUCAUGCUCUGCACAUGUUUUCAGUCAUGUACUCACACAUUAUUAUCAGUUUAUAUUUUGUUUCCCUAUGUUUUAGACACAUUUAUUUGAACUUGUUUGGGUGGUGGGUUCCAUCUUCCCAAGUUUAUAGCACCUUUUUGUUUUUUUUGUUAAUUUAAUGACGGAUUUUUCCUUGUCUCACUAGGUUUUCUGGCUCUUAUCAUUGACUACACCAUAUACUUCCUCCUUUUCUUUUUACUAUGCAUAUUAGAUUUCUCUAAAGUCAAAUUCGUAAAGUUCGUCCAAAUUUAAAUUAAAAAAUAUCAGGAUUUACCACCUCAAAUAAAUAUAAUCUGAACAUAUAGGAAGGAACAUAUAUUCCAUGAUGGAUUUGAUUAUAUUAAUUUUGUAUUGCAAAUGUUAUAUUUUUAAAAUAAAUUUGAUCCAACUUUGAAGAGUUCAACUUUAGACAGCGGUGUAAAAAGAAAAGAAAUAGAGGGAGUAUUGUAAUGGUGCUCUCUCCAGAGCUGUUCUUGCACCCUCAUGGGAGGCUGCCACAGUGCCACUGCUCUUCUCGAAGUGAAGCACAUCAUCACCUUUCCUUAUUGUGGGACCUUGUAGCAGUUUUCGUCGAGAAAUGAGUUGUUUGGAUUAAGGAGCUAGGUGAUUUUAGUUUCUUUUUCGAGCAUUCGGUUUCCCUUUAAAUUUGAUCAGAGAUUAUAUUCCCAAUUGUGAUUCAUGUGAACAUACUUUUGUUUUCUUAAUCAAAUAAUACUAGGGGAUGUGCAUAUCAUGAGAUCCCCUAAACCAUUCCUCUCUGCAUAUAUUCUAAGCUGGCACCAAUAAAAGAUUCCUAAUCAAGGCAGUGGAAAAACAGAAAGAAGAAGGGAAUUAAAACAUGACUUUCUUGUGCUUCCAACAAACAAACACGCUUUCCCUUUCUAAAAAGGNNNNNNNNNNNNNNNNNNNNNNNNNNNNNNNNNNNNNNNNNNNNNNNNNNNNNNNNNNNNNNNNNNNNNNNNNNNNNNNNNNNNNNNNNNNNNNNNNNNNNNNNNNNNNNNNNNNNNNNNNNNNNNNNNNNNNNNNNNNNNNNNNNNNNNNNNNNNNNNNNNNNNNNNNNNNNNNNNNNNNNNNNNNNNNNNNNNNNNNNNNNNNNNNNNNNNNNNNNNNNNNNNNNNNNNNNNNNNNNNNNNNNNNNNNNNNNNNNNNNNNNNNNNNNNNNNNNNNNNNNNNNNNNNNNNNNNNNNNNNNCCCGUCCCUUUCCUCAUCUCCAUCGCCAUUUCCCUCUCAUCCUCCACCAACUCUCAAUCUCCAAUGACAUUUCUUCUCCUAUGCUCGGUCUCCUCCCAACGCUCGAGAUCCUAGUAACACCCCCGCUCAUCCCACAACCUUGCCUUUGCGCAUAACACUUCUAAACCUACCCUUUGAUCUUUCAACUUAGUGUGUUAGGGUUUGAAUCUUGGCAUCCAUAACCAUAGCCGCCACCAAUCUACCGGGCCAUCUCUGCACCCGACAAUCCUUCUAUCAGUACUUGGCGUCUCUCCAUGCGACCGAUCCCAAUUACAGUUGGCUGGAGCCAUACCAAGAGUUUGAGGUAUGGCGGCGUUCUCGAUUUGGCACGGCAACAUCUGUACUAAUUUUACUAGAAAUAUUGAUCAAAUUGUAGUGCCUUUUUGGAUGGUUGAUUUAUUUUUGUUAAUUCAAUGUUUCCAUUCUUCUUUGUCUUAUGAGGCUUUCCACAUGUUUUUACGUGGCUAGUGAACUACAUCAUAUAUAUAUAUAUAUAUAUAUAUAUAUAUAUAUAUAUAUAUAUAUAUUGUACUUCUUUCAAAUUCAUCCCUACCACCAUCAUUGGAGCCUCACCACAACUCUUGAAGUGUAAGGACAUUAUAUGUCUUUCAUUGUUGUGUUACCUUAUAGCAGUUUGAUUGAGCCCCGGGUAAUUUGGAUUAAGAUGGAGCUAUGUGAUUCUAUUUCUCUGUAGGGUUUUGAAGCCUUUGAUUUCUCGAGAUUCUAUUUUCAAUUAUGAUUCACAUGGCCAUAAGUCAGUUCUUUUAUUAAAUAAUGUCAGGGGAUGUGUAUCUCUUGGGAUCUCCUCCACAAUCCCUCCAUGUGGUAGUUACUCUCAUGUCUCAUAUACUACCACCGGGUGGUAGUUAGCAUCAUAUCUUAUAUACUAGCAUGUGGUAGUAUAUAUAUAUAUUACUUUAUCAUUCUAUGUAUAUUCAUAUAAUAUAUCUAAGAUUUUUCAAAGUGAGUUAAAUGAAUAAAAUGCAUGUGAGUCCAUGGAUUUUAGUAUAAUUUUGAAAAUACCUUCAUAUUGGUAUGUAUAAAACAAUAUAAUAAAAACUAUUACAUUACUACCAUGUGUAGUGUUUUCCACAACCACACCUUAGUACACAUCUAACCCUCUACCACCAGUCAAAAAACAUCUAACUCUACUCUUGGAUCCGUCAACUCACUAUGUUAGGUUCUAGAUAUUUGGGGAUCCACAACCAUACAUGUCCUCAAUCUAACAAGUCAUAUAUAAUUCCUACAUCCCUUGCAAAAGGUCUUAGAAUCUCUCGUACAAUCUAUCCUGACUAUAGUAGCUAGGAACCAUAGCAAGAGUUGAAGUUAUAGCGGCGUGUUCUCGAUUUGGUAGUGAACUCUCAAGGAUGUGAUAAUCACAAGAAAGUUCCAUUUGUUAAGUCUUGCCAUUGCCAUCUUGUUUCUUCGGAGUUGUGCUCCUAGAUUUAGCAGAUUGGUUGUGUAUGUAGUGGCUAAAGUUGAUGGUUCUCUAUUCUGACCUUUUAUUUCCAUAUGGUAUUUGUUAUUCUUGUUUGCUCGAGUUCCAAUGGUAAAUGAUAAAAUUGCUGCAUUCUUAUAAUUUUUGUGAAUACUUAAACAAAAUACAUGUCAGUAGAUUUAUAGACGUUUUCACACAACAUAUAUGUCAUGGCCAUUUGGUGUCUUCAUACUUUGCCGUUGUCCAUAUGAUUUCUAUUGAUAAUUAUUUCGUAUAAACACAUGCAAGUACAUACCAGUAUCCGCUUAAUGGUAAGAAAAAAAUGUGAUGCAUCCACAUUCUAAUUUUAGGUAGUUCAUUGUCAAUAAAGCCUAUAUUUGAAAUCAUAUGCUGGCCAUUUGGGGCACAAUAAGUUUAGCAAAAACUAGAGUGGCAUGCACAUGUGAAUAUUGUUCCAAGUUUCAAGCUUCUUAUUUACAUUCCUCUAAGUGUGGUGGGAAAUUUGUUAGCAUGUUCCCCACAAUAUACCGGGGGUGAGCAUUAGGAGAUUCGAAGGAGUUUACUGUACAUAGAAGUAAUUUGUGGUUGUGUGAGUUAAACUACCUAUCUUGUGUUUUUUACCUUAUAUAAUAAGGAUGUCAUCAUGUGACAAAAACUUUCAUCUCAUUUUUUAUGUUCAAGAGUUUUCUGAAGAGGCCCACUUGGACUGUAGAAUUCCUAUAGGCUUUAUAAUCAAGAUCCAAGCUUUUUUUAUCCUUUUCUGUUUGACCAUUUCUUUGAAUAAAAAGAGUGAGUAUGUGAUCCCAUUUCUUAUGAAUUCAAGAGGCAUUACUGUUCCAACAUAUUCAAAGCACAUAUUCUGACUGUAGUUUGGUAGUCUGGAGCAGGAUUUCUCGCAAUAUUCGGAAGAAAACCUCCUCGAUGACUGCUCGUCAGAAGAAAUCUGACAACAUUGUGGUUUCUCCUAAAGUUGGAAUUAUCACUCGCGGCAGAAUGUCAAACGUAAAUGAUAUGGCUUCCUUGGAAACAAAUCACACUACGGUUCCAAGAGGUAUCUUGCUUACUAUCAUGUUGCAACUAUGAAGAUAAUUCUAAUGAAAAUAUUGCAUAUAAAUUAAUCUUUUGUCACAUAUGAUGAAAUAUCAGGACAUUGUGUGACACCUACCUUCGAAAUAACCGUGCAGUCGGACGAGGGGCUUAAUCUUUCUGUGGAUCUAAAUUCCACUCCAUCAGAGUACACUAAAAUAUAUUCACAACAACUUGGGGAUGUUUCUAGAGAGGCUCAACUUGAAGCUCCAACAGAAAAUGCAGAGGUAGAAGAUAUGGCUGUGGAAGACAAUAUAGGUUGUGGUGACAUGUUACCACCAGUUUCUAGAGGGGCAGAAUUUAAAGCCCAGGUAGAAAAUGAAGAGAGGGAAGAAGUUUUGAUGGAAGAAGAAAUAGGUUGUGCUGACAAGUUGAUAGUUACUGAAGGGACCCAACUUACACUUAGCAGGGACAAACAUGAAUCACCUGUGAAAACUGAACUAGUGGCUCAAGAAGUAGUAAUGCAAGAAGAUAUAGGUUGCGAUGAUAAUUUGCCAGGUUCAAACCAAGUGCUGAUCUCACAUGCCAAUCAAGAUGCUGGCUUUACAAAUCAUUCCCUUGACGAGGUCUUGAACCACACAAGCUCAACGCUACCAUCUAUUGGUUCGGUAAUUUCAUUGAACCAUUUAUAAUACUAUUUUUUCCAUUUGAUUCUACUAUAUACUUUACUUCCUUUCAUCAAAGAAAUAUCGUCUUGGGUACUUUUUUUAAUCCAUUUUUGAUACUGCCGCAACAGUGCAUGUUUCUUUUCACCAAACUAAACAUUUACUUGUUACUCCCUCUUAUCCAACAUAAGUGUAACUUUAAUUCAAACCCGCUGACACUUAUUAUGAAUCGGAGGGAGUACUAAUAAAAUGAAAAAGUUCAGCCUUUCAUUGUUUUUCCCUUCUUUGAGUCCGAUAGUAUUGCGAUUUGCUUACUAGGUGUUGUUGUCAGUUGAUCACUCUUAUCUUUUUGUUGUGAGUUUCAAAUUGUUUUCAUUUUUCUUGUUUAACAAGUAGGUCUCGGUCAGCAAAAGAGUGCAUCAUCCUGCCAUUAGAAGAAAAGAAAAAGAAAAACAGAAAUGAGACAUGAUUUUGGUAGGAAUUAAUCAUCUUCAUGAUAUAUAGACCGUAUAUGGUAAAAGAAUGCGCAUGUGCUUGUGCCUCGCUUCCACACGCUCGCACAACACUGGCCAUCUUUGUCAAAUUGUCCUCUUUCCACUUUCUUCCAUUCCCUUCACAAGUGAGCGCGUUCCCUUGACCCUAAUUAACCCACCUAGCUAGGCACCCAACCACCAUAGCGAGCCCGCAGAACCCUAGCUAGGUAUUGGCGAUCGAGGCAUAAUCAUUUAACCCCCGGACAUGACGAAGAUGGUAUCGGAGAUGAAGGGGGUGACUCCGUGGGCACAGGAGCAGCCCGACACGGCCACAGAAGAGCAACUCAUCGUCGUGCAGGAGGUGAGUGGAUCACGCAUACACGUAGUUCUUUCUGGUUGGAUAGUUGGUAGAUCUGAUGGUGGUUUACGCAGACACUCAUAUUGCUUGGCUUUGGCUGCUCUAGCGGAUAGAUCGGACAGAGUUAAUUCUUGUUGUUGGGCUGCACUAGUCAAUCUAAAUCUGAUCGUGGUAGGGGAUCGAUAGAUCUGAGAUGAAUCAGACAUAGAAAUGCUCACACACGACUAGUUUGAUUUGAUUAUUACUUGAUUGUGCAACUAUGGGAGGUCCUCGGCGUCCGAAUUUUGGUGCCGCAGCUUAGCUCGAGUGCAUCCUAGUUGGUCUUCUGACGCGUCCUGUUGGUGGCGGCUGUCCGGGCAUACCCUCCGCAAGUGGUGGCGGCGAGGCACCGACGAGUAGAAAGCAAGGAUGGGCCGGGUGCAGGAGGAAGAAGGUGGUGGGCCUAAAAGAUAUACUCCCUCCGUCCGGAAAUACUUGUCAUCAAAAUGAAUAAUGUAUCUAGACAUAUUUUAGUUCUAGAUACAUCUCUUUUUAUCCAUUUUGAUGACAAGUAUUUUCGGACGGAGGGAGUAUAAUAUACUUCCUCCGUCCCGAAUUACUUGUCGUAGAAAUGGAUGUAUCUAGAGCUAAAAAUAUGUCUAGAUACAUCCAUUCUUGUGACAAGUAAUUUGGGACAGAGGGAGUACUAUGAAAAUAUAUUAUUUGUACACUAGGAAAAUGGGUAGUACUAAAAGAUAUAUAUAUAUAUAUAUAUAUAUAUAUAUAUAUAUAUAUAAGAUUUUAAAGCAAAACAUAUAUACUUAUAAAAACUUUCUAUGCACAAUAUUUACAAACUUCCAAAAAUUCCUAGUCCGUCGGGUAGACAACUAGUGUAGUCUUCCAAAGUGGAAAUCACGCGCUCGCAGAGAAACAGGCAUUCAAGCCCUGCCAUUUCUGUCUUUCGCUUCCCCCUCUCCUCGUACAAAGGCCGAAAACCCACCGGCAGGGUAGGUGUAGCCACCCAGCCGCCGCACUUGGCCCCCAAAAACCUUAGCAAGAGAGGCUGAAUCGUAUGGGGCGGAAAAAGAGGAGGGAGUUAAAGAUGGUGACGAAGUUGAAGGGAGUGACGCCGCGGGCGCAGGAGCAGCGCGGCACGGCCCCGGAGCUCGUCGCCGUGCCGGAGGUGAGUGGAGCACGUCUUGCCUGGCUGCUAGCUAUAGGUCGUCGACGGAGCUCUUUGCUGUUAUUUGUUGCGCCCCCUGGUAAAUCUGAAUCCGAUCUGAUCGUGGUAUAGGGAGGCGCAUCUCGCAUGCACAUACGGGUAAGGGAUCGAUCGGAAGGGACAGAUGUGGGGAUUUCGCCGCCGCGGUUUUUCUUGACUGCGCCCUAGUUGGUCGUAUCCGCCUUCGUUGAGUUGAGGGUGGCGAGCGGUAAGUGUAGGAAGCGUGGGGACACGUCGGGUGCAGGACGAAGAAGAUGGUGGGUGGCGUUGCUCAUGCCGUCAUGCGCUGGGGACGAAUCGGGCGUGAACCCAAGCAGCUAUGGCUGGACGAAUCGGGGUAAGAUUCUGCUCGAUCGCUAGCUAGCUAGCUUGCAUCUGGUUAAUUUUCCCUCUGGUACUCGCACCAAGAUCAAGCGACUUCCAAGCAACAAAUCGACCAAAACUGAUUCUGUAGUAGUAGUGUAGUACUAAUCGCCCCACCGCUAGAUGUGAUAGAUUUUUUCCUUUCUAGGAUUGAUGCGUCCCAGAUGUGAUAGAUUUUUUCCUUUUUUAGGAAUGAGAUGUGAUAGUUUUUCCAAAACGCUAUAAAAGGUUCGAUUUGCCACGGUAAAAAAUCUGACAUCUGAUUUGUAGUGGGAUCCUAGUCUUUUGAGGGGUCAAAAUGUGAUAGUUUAGGGGGUCGUUAAAAUGAUGUGUUGUGUUAAUUGUGUAGUGGUCGGUCUUGAUGCGCAUUGAAGGCCCAACCCAGAACAUAUGCUCUUUUCUUGUGUGCAUGGGGAUUGCUCCCGCUUCAAAAUGAAAAUAAAAAAAAUGUUAGCUAGGCGAUGGAGAUGGUGGCAGCGGCGAAGCCUAGUCUCACCCCCAUGCGGCAGUAGAGAAGGCGCAUCGCAUCGGAGGAUGGCCGGAGCCGAUGAGAAGCAUGGGCGCACGCAGGCAUACGUCAGGGCGACGGUACAAAACAGGGCCUAGGGAUACAGUAUAGGCAACCACAACAAGCACAAACCCCUCCCUUCUUAGUUCGUGUAACUGUCUUUUUAAUAACUACGAUAUGCAGUAAUUUUUAUUUUGCUAUGUCAAACUGUACUUGUUCAUUCCCUGAAAAAAAAACUAUACUUAUUCAUAUACUUGCAGAAAUAGGAGAGGCCAUCUCGGCCAUACUAUUUCUUAAAUGAUGCAAGCAUAAGAAUGUACAACUGAAAUGUUUAACUAUUUUCUGCUUGAGUAGUUGUUAAAAAUUAUCUGUUGGUUGCAUCUACCUACGAUAUAGCGAUCAUAGCAUUUUUUUUGGUGACCAAAUAGCGACCAUAAGUUAGGCAAGUCUUGUUUUUUUGAGUGUGGGAAGUCCUGGCUAAUAUUGUUGGCUUUUGAUGGCUUGAUCAAUUCACCAGAGAGCAGCAACAUACAUACGUGCAAGCUAGCUAGCUAGCAGUCACCUAGAUUGAUGAACAGUGGCCAAGCACAUGCACAGAUACUUCAGUUACGCUACUAGAAUCUGGUUUUGUCCCGAGUUAUUCUAGUAGUGCCUUAUUAUCUCUCUCUCUCUCCAUUUUAGGUUGUUGCACUAUUCAUUUUUGUUUUUCCUAUGCACUUGAUAUUAUUGUGAGUAACAUAGACCUAGGUCAUUUGAAUAAAUGGUUGUUGUAUCAGGCACCACGUGUUGAUGUUGAAAUGAAGGAUGGUGCAUUGGAACGCCAAAUCAUGGGAGCGCCUAAGUCAGGUUGCGAUUGCAAGACAGCUUGUUUUCCCUAUUAUUGGUUAUUGGUCCUCCAACUUUCUAACAUAUGUGUUCUUAAUUUCAUUGAAGGUGGCGUGGCUGAGAAUAGCAAUGAUCAGAUUCGUGAUUCCGUGGUAGAGAUUAAGAAAAUACGGGAUUCUAUUGUAUGUUAUAUGUCUUCUCUUUUGUUUCAGGAAAAAAAAUGAUGCUUGUUUUUCUUAUAUUUUGUUCUAGUUGAGAAUCUUAUGUAAAUUCAUCCCCUCUUUGUUUCAGCUUCGUAAGGAAUUCAUACUUCAAGAUGGAAGUGCUCAAUGUGAUAUGGACAUUCAUAAAAUUAAGAUGGACAUUCAGAAAAUUAAGACUGGUAUUCUACCAUUUUACACAUCUAAACAUCGUUAGAUUGAUAAUCACUUCUAGAAUUGUCACUGUUUUGUGGCAAACAUUGUGGGCAUGUUUUGCUGGGAGCCAUAUAUUUCCCAAAGUUCUGUGUUAAACUGUCAUAUUCCUCACUUUAAACUGUGGACAAAUCGUCUGUUAGAAGUGUGGCAUAUUUUGGCAAGAAGUUAUUUCUAUAUGAGUUCAUAGUUUAAAAUCGUCGGCGAGCAGAAAUUGCGGCAGGUAUUUGGCCACGAUGAGUAAGGAAGGAAUGCCGCAUUCUCCGGCAAUUUCCCAUGCCAUGCAGAUCGCGCAGCCGUUUCAGAUUCGUGAUAGCGCCGCUAUUGCGGCAGCGUCGUCCAUGAUUUUAAUCUAUGUAUGAGUUCAACAUUUCCAUUACUCACCAUGUUUAAACCUUAUGCAGAAAAGAAGAUGACAAAAGAAGUGUUGUCAACAAUGGAGAAAUAUAAGGAACCUAGCUCAAAUAUAAUGAAAGUUGCCAAUCUAACUUUCUCUGGCGAUGAUGGGAAAACCAAGAGCACUAAGAGAAUGGAAUUGAAAUUUAAGGAGGCACUCGCACAACGCGAUAAAUGCAUGGUAAGAAACUUCGCGCUGAACUGAUGCAUUAAAAUUUUAAAUGCCAUCUGUACCUUUGACACUUGUCAAUGCAGGAGCUUAAUGAUAUCUGCUGUGAUUGCGAUUGGAUGGCCCCUAGAUACACAGUACUACCUUCACUAGCAGAUGGUAUCUCUAAAUACCUUUACUCUUAUCUCUUUAAUUUUCCAAAUGGACACGCAUUGAGUUCUUGGACCAUAUAGGCACAAUAAUAAGAAUUUCAUUGAAAUUGGUCUUGUGCCACGUACUUUCUGAUUAGCGUUUGUUGAAUCCAAUCCGUAUAGCACCCCUUGGGCUAAAGAGUUUUCAAAAGGUCAUAUCUAUAAACCACUUGUCUAUGCUCUAUUCAAGUGUUAGGUUUAUUAAACAUCACAGUUCGGUCCAUGGUUACCAAAGACAUGUGUCGCGCCGUUGUCGGAUCUAUUAGAGAUCACCUCUACUCAUUUCAUUGCAUUCCACUUGUCAAGAACUGAAUAGGUUUCCAGCUAGCAAAAACUAGAACUGCUGUUUGAUUUAGUUCACUCUGUACGUUCGGUUUACAGGGUUCGGUUUAUACGUUUUUUUCGGUUUGUACAUUAUUAAUACUUUGGUAAAUAUGGUAUGAAAUUUAGAUACGGUUCGGUUUCAAUAUAUACCAAAUUAUUUUGGUAUGGUUUCGGUAUAUACCAUAAAACCAAAGUUGACGCGAAUUUGAAAAUGACAUAUAAUAGUUUGCAAAUUUGUGACUCAAAACACAUAUCUUUUUUAUACAAAGAGUAUAUAACUAUAUGCGACUGUAUAUGCAUGCAUGGUUUGGAUGGUUAUGGACAUGCAUAGCAUUCUUAUUAAGAGAAAUAUGAUUCGUUACAAGAAAAUUGGAUGCGCUUAACAUGAAAUCUAGUUUAUGUACAAAAAAGGACUACUCUAUGGUUGUUCUCCCCAAGAAAUAUACAUAUUUUUUUUACUUCGGUUUAUUCGGUAAACCAUACGGUUUUUUGGUAUAUACCAUAAAAACCAGAAUUCAAAACGAUAUAAAAAGUUCAUACCAUACCGAAAUCAUAAACCAUAAAAAAUGGUUCGGUUUGGUUUACUUUCGGUUCGGUUUUAAAAUGCACAGGGUGAGAUUUAGUGUCACAUUGUUUUCUGAGCACUUAUCCACCAGUUACUCUCCUAUCUUUUCAGGAAUGCACGUCGGCGAAGUGCGUUUGAAAUGCCCUGAUUUUGAGUUGAGCAUCACUAGCGAUCCUUGUCCAACCCCACAUGAUGCGAGGUGCUCUGCAGCUGCCAAUAUGAUAUUGGAGCUUGGCAAGAAGGUGGAGGACAAAGAACAUCAUGCUAACUGAUGCAAAGUUGCUAGCUGGGAACUAGCAGGCUGGGGCCAAUAUUACCAAAGAGUGAAAUAAAUCAACUUAGCUAUUUGUUGUUGUGAUGUAUGAACGACUUAAUGAUUUGUGUUGUGCGAGUUUGUACUGUAUUGCAUUGUGGCACAUGUGUGCCAACCAUGUGCUCAAACGAAUUAUUUUUACCAUUAUUUUAUUGAAUUUUUCUUUGUUUUGGGAACUCAUUCAAACUUGCUUUUGGGCGGAAAUUCAAUUAUGUGCAUAUGAUUGGGUUGCAUUUUCCCAAAAUUAUAGCACCUUUUUGGAAGGUUGCUUAUUGUUCUAAUUUAGAAAUUGUAUUCCUGUUUACUUGCUAGGUUUUGCGAGUGAGGCAUUUUGGAGCUUGAAUUUUUCUAAAUAUUAAAAACCAUAGUUCAAAGUCUGAAAAAGUCAUAGAUUUUUAUACAUAUAUUCAUAUGAAUGCAUUCUACAAGUGUAAAACGUUUCAUGAUGAAAUACGUUAACAUUUGAGCCACACAAAAUGGAAAAUUUGUGAAUUUUCAAUAAUGAACAAUGUAUGUACUGUUCAUAGCUAUCAAAGUUAUGAAUUUGGUUUUUGGUAGUUCACAUGUUAACAUAUAUCACCAUUAAACUUUGCAUACACGUAGACUAUACCAAUAUAAACAUGUGGAGUUAUUUUAAAAAAAUUGGAAGUCCAAAUUGUGAAUUUUGAUCUUUUCAAAUAAAAAGACAAACAAGCUCAAUACAGCCCCAGCUCUGAAAUGAACUUCCGAGGUUUUGCAUCCUUUCUCGUUAACAGUGAAGUACACCAAUAUUUGUUAUAUCUAUCCAAAUAUGUUAUUCCCACUGGCUGUGGGAGCUCUCUAAGGUGGGCCAGAAAAUUUCCUAUUGUUUAUUUAAUAGAGUAUAACCAUAUUACUAUAUUAGUGGUGAAAUGGCCGAGCAGGAGCACUAUAGACAAACCACCUUAACGAUGAUGACCAUAUGAGUAUGUGAACUAUCCUAAAAAAAUAUAAGUAUGUGAAUUAUUAAUUGUAAUCAUAGAUUAAAAUCGCGGGAGAAACGAUUUCGCGACGGCCUCUCCCAGCAGCUAUAGUGGCAGCCAUAGCGUUUGACAAGAAACUAAUCUCCAAUUUGGCGGUUGUGGAGUUCUGCAUGAGUUACCACUUGCUUAUAUUUUUAUCCUUUCAUAAUUCAAACUGACUCUUUUCCUUCUCUGUGGUGAAAUUCCAACUAACCCUCCAGGUAUAUUUUCCCCUCAGGCAUCACAAGAGAUGGCUUGCUGAGAAAAUAGGACCAGAUGCUGCAAAUAGUGAACAUGACUUUACAAGGAAGAUACUUGCUAUGGAUGCUAAAAACUACCAUGCUUGGUCCCAUAGGCAGGUAUGCAGUAUCUCCUUUUGAUGUUCAGUACAAGUUGGAUGUUUGUAUCCUUUAAGCUUAUUACUUCUCGCUUGGCUGUUGUACUAGGAAAUUGUAGUACCAAGAGAAUAUUGGUUAUAAUAAUGUAAUUGAUUUGCUAUAAUUGCUGCAGUGGGUUCUUCAAGCAUUGGGUGGAUGGGAGAGUGAACUGCAGUACUGCAACCAGCUUCUUGAGGAAGAUAUUGUUGGGGAACGUUGCAGAAAAUUAAAAAUUUUCCUACGGUUUCACCAAGAUCCAUCUAUGAGUUCAUCUAAGCAACGAGUCAAGGGAGAGAGUUUGCAUCUACAUACCACUUGUAGAUCGCGUGCGGAAGCUUGCAAGGUGAUGAUGUAGUCGUACUCGACGUGAUUCGAAUCACCGAUGACCAAGUGCUGAACGGACAGCACCUCCGCGUUCAACACACGUACGGGACGGGAGACGUCUCCUCCUUCUUGAUCCAGCAAGGGGGAAGGAGAGGUUGAGGAAGACAGCUCCACCGGCAGCACGACGGCGUGGUGAUGGUGGAGAGGCAGUACUCCGACAGGGCUUCGCCAAGCACACAACGGAGGAGGAGAGGUGUUGGGGAGGGGAGGGCUGCGCCUUGGAGGGUGGUACGGCUGCCCUCCCCUCACCCCUCUAUUUAUAGGGGGAAGGGAGAAGGGGGCCGGCCCCCUAGAACCCAUCUAGGGGGGGUGCGGCGGCCUAGGGGAGAGGGGAGAGGGUGGCUUGCCCCCCAAGCCAAGGGGGCGCCCCCUCUAGGGUUCCCCCCCUCAACCCUAGGCGCAUGGGCCCAAGGGAGGGGGUGCGGCCAGCCCACCAGGGGCUGGCUCCCUGCCCCACGCAGCCCAUGUGGCCCCCCCGGGAGGGGUGGCCCCUCCCGGUGGACCCCCGUGUUGGGUUUCGUAGUAAUUUCAAAAAUUUUCCUACGCACACGCAAGAUCAUGUGAUGCAUAGCAACGAGGGGAAGAGUAUUGCCUACGUACCCUACGCAGACCGACUGCGGAAGCGAUGACACGACGUAGAGGAAGUAGUCGUACGUCUUCACGAUCCAACCGAUCAAGCACCGAAACUACGGCACCUCCGAGUUCGAGCACACGUUCAGCUCGAUGACGAUCCCCGGACUCCGAUCCAGCAAAGUGUCGGGGAAGAGUUCCGUCAGCACGACGGCGUGGUGACGAUCUUGAUGAACUACAGCAGCAGGGCUUCGCCUAAACUCCGCUACAGUAUUAUCGAGGAAUAUGGUGGCAGGGGGCACCGCACACGGCUAAGGAAUCGAUCAUGUGGAUCAACUUGUGUCAACUUGUGUGUUUAGAGGUGCCCCUGCCUCAGUAUAUAAAGGAGCCAAGGGGGGGAGGAGGCGCCGGCCAGGAGGAGGUGGCGCAGGAGGAGUCCUACUCCUACCGGGAGUAGGACUCCCCUCCAAUCCUAUUCCAACUAGGAAUCCCCAAAGGGGGAAAGAGGAGAAGGGUGGCCGGCCACCUCUCCUAGUCCUAAUAGGACUAGGGGAAGGGGGGAGGCGCGCAGCCCCCUUGGGCUGCCCCUUUCUCCUUUCCACUAAGGCCCAUGAAGGCCCAUAUGGCUCCCGGGGGGUUCCGGUAACCUCCCGGUAACCCGGUAAAAUCCCGAUUUCACCCGGAACACUUCCGAUGUCCAAACAUAGGCUUCCAAUAUAUCAAUCUUUACGUCUCGACCAUUUCGAGACUCCUCGUCAUGUCCGUGAUCACAUCCGGGACUCCGAACAACCUUCGGUACAUCAAAAUGCAUAAACUCAUAAUAUAACUGUCAUCGUAACCUUAAGCGUGCGGACCCUACGGGUUCGAGAACAAUGUAGACAUGACCGAGACACGUCUCUGGUCAAUAACCAAUAGCGGGACCUGGAUGCCCAUAUUGGCUCCUACAUAUUCUACGAAGAUCUUUAUCGGUCAGACCGCAUAACAACAUACAUUGUUCCCUUUGUCAUCGGUAUGUUACUUGCCCGAGAUUCGAUCGUCGGUAUCCAAUACCUAGUUCAAUCUCGUUACCGGCAAGUCUCUUUACUCGUUCCGUAAUACAUCAUCUCACAACUAACAUAUUAGUUGCAGUGCUUGCAAGGCUUAUGUGAUGUGCAUUACCGAGAGGGCCCUGAGAUACCUCUCCGACAAUCGGAGUGACAAAUCCUAAUCUCGAAAUACGCCAACCCAACAUCUACCUUUGGAGACACCUGUAAUGCUCCUUUAUAAUCACCCAGUUACGUUGUGACGUUUGGUAGUACCCAAAGUGUUCCUCCGGUAAACGGGAGUUGCAUAAUCUCAUAGUCAUAGGAACAUGUAUAAGUCAUGAAGAAAGCAAUAGCAACAUACUAAACGAUCAGGUGCUAAGCUAAUGGAAUGGGUCAUGUCAAUCAGAUCAUUCAACUAAUGAUGUGACCUCGUUAAUCAAAUAACAACUCAUUGUUCAUGGUUAGGAAACAUAACCAUCUUUGAUUAACGAGCUAGUCAAGUAGAGGCAUACUAGUGACACUUUGUUUGUCUAUGUAUUCACACAUGUAUUAUGUUUCCGGUUAAUACAAUUCUAGCAUGAAUAAUAAACAUUUAUCAUGAAAUAAGGAAAUAAAUAAUAACUUUAUUAUUGCCUCUAGGGCAUAUUUCCUUCAGUCUCCCACUUGCACUAGAGUCAAUAAUCUAGUUCACAUUGUCAUGUGAUUUAACACCAAUAUUCAUAUCUGUAUAUGAUUAACACCCAUAGUUCACAUCAUCAUGUGACCAACACCCAAAGGGUUUACUAGAGUCAAUAAUCUAGUUCACAUCGCUAUGUGAUUAACAUCCAAAGAGUACUAAGGUGUGAUCAUGUUUUGCUCGUGAGAGAAGCUUAGUCAACGGGUCUGUCACAUUCAGAGCCGUAUGUAUUUUGCAAAUAUUCUAUGUCUAUAAUGCUCUGUGCGGAGCUACUCUAGCUAAUUGCUCCUACUUUCAAUAUGUAUCCAGAUUGAGACUUAGAGUCAUCUGGAUCAGUGUCAAACUUGCAUCGGCGUAACCCUUUACGACGAACCUUUUUCCAUAAUCGAGAAACAUAUCCUUAUUCCACUAAGGACAAUUUUGACCGCUCUCCAGUGAUCUUCUCCUAGAUCACUAUUGUACUCCCUUGCCAAACUCAGUGGUAUGGCAUACAAUAGAUCUGGUAUACAGCAUGGCAUACUUUAUAGAACCUAUGACUGAGGCAUAGGGAAUGACUUUCAUUCUCUUUCUAUUUUCUGCCGUGGUCGGGCUUUGAGUCUUACUCAACUUAACACCUUGCAACACAGGCAAGAACUCCUUCUUUGACUGUUCCAUUUUGAACUAUUUCAAAAAUUUAUCAAGGUAUGUAUUCAUUGAAAAAAUCUUAUCAAGCGUCUUCAUCUAUCUAUAUAGAUCUUGAUGCUCAAUGUGUAAGCAGCUUCACCAAGGUCUUUCUUUGAAAAACUUUUAUUCAAGUAUCCUUUCAUGCUUUGCAGAAUAAUUCUACAUUAUUUCCGAUCAACAAUAUGUCAUUCACAUAUACUUAUCAGAAAUGUUGUAGUGCUCCCACUCACUUUCUUGUAAAUACAGGCUUCACCGUAAGUCCAUAUAAAACUAUAUGCUUUGAUCAACUUAUCAAAGCGUAUAUUCCAACUCCGAGAUGCUUGCACCAGUCCAUAGAUGGAUCGCUGGAGCUUGCACAUUUUGUUAGCACCUUUAGGAUUGACAAAACCUUCUAGUUGCAUCAUAUACAACUCUUCUUCCAGAAAUCUAUUCAGGAAUGCAGUUUUGACAUCCAUCUACCAAAUUUCAUAAUCAUAAAAUGCGGCAAUUGCUAACAUGAUUCGGACGGACUUAAGCAUCGCUACGGGUGAGAAUGUCUCAUCGUAGUCAAUCCCUUGAACUUGUCAAAAACCUUUUGCGACAAGUCGAGCUUUGUAGACAGUAACAUUACCAUCAGCGUCAGUCUUCUUCUUAAAGAUCCAUUUAUUCUUAAUGACUCACCGAUCAUCGGGCAAGUCAAUCAAAGUCAACACUUUGUUCUCAUACAUGGAUCAUAUCUCAGAUUUCAUGGCCUCAAGCCAUUUCGUGGAAUCUGGGCUCAUCAUUGCUUCCUCAUAGUUCGUAGGUUCAUCAUGGUCUAGUAACAUGACUUCCAGAACAUGAUUACCGUACCACUCUGGUGCGGAUCUUACUCUGGAAGACCUACGAGGUUUGGUAGUAACUUGAUCUGAAGUUUGAUGAUCAUCAUCAUUAACUUCCUAACUUAUUGGUGUAGGAAUCACUGGAACUGAUUUCUGUGAUGAACUACUUUCCAAUAAGGGAGAAGGUAUAAUUACCUCAUCAAGUUCUACUCUCCUCCCACUCACUUCUUUCGAGAGAAACUCCUUCUCUGGAAAGGAUCCAUUUUAGCAACGAAUAUCUUGCCUCCAGAUCUGUGAUAGAAGGUGUACCCAACAAUUUCCUUUGGGUAUUCUAUGAAGACGCACUUCUCCGAUUUGGGUUCGAGCUUAUCAGGAUGAAACUUUUCCACAUAAGCAUCGCAGCCCCAAUCUUUAAGAAACGACAACUUGGGUUUCUUGCUAAACCAUAGUUCAUAUAGUGUCGUCUCAACGGAUUUAGAUGGUGCCCUUUUAACGUGAAUGCAUCUGUCUUUAAUGCAUAACCCCAAAAUGAUAGUGGUAGAUCGGUAAGAGACAUCAUAGAUCGCACCAUAUCUAAUAAAGUACGGUUAUGACGUUCGGACACACCAUUACAUUGUGGUGUUCCAGGUGGCGUGAGUUUGUGAAACUAUUCCACAUUGUUUUAAUUGAAGACCAAACUCGUAACUCAAAUAUUUGUCUCCGCGAUCAGAUCGUAGAAACUUUAUUUUCUUGUCACGAUGAUUUUCCACUUCACUCUGAAAUUCUUUGAACUUUUCAAAUGUUUCAGACUUAUGUUUCAUCAAGUAGAUAUACCCAUAUCUGCUCAAAUCAUCUAUGAAGUUCAGAAAAUAACGAUACUUGCCGUGAGCCUUAACACUCAUCGGACCGCAUACAUCAGUAUGUAUUAUUUCCAAUAAGUCAGUUGCUCGCUCCGGAGAACGGAGUCUUAGUCAUCUUGCCCAUGAGGCAUGGUUCGCAAGCAUCAAGUGAUUCAUAAUCAAGUGAUUCCGAAAAUCCAUCUUUAUGGAGUAUCUUCAUGCGCUUUACACCGAUAUGACCCAAACGGCUGUGCCACAAAUAAGUUGCACUAUCAUUAUUAACUUUGCAUCUUUUGGUUUCAAUAUUAUGAAUAUGUGUAUCACUACGAUCGAGAUCCAAUGAACCUUUUUCAUUGUGUGUGUAACCAUAUAAGGUUUUAUUCAUGUAAACAGAACAACAUUUUAUUCUCUUACUUAAAUGAAUUACCGUAUUGCAAUAAACAUGAUCAAAUCAUAUUCAUGUUCAACGCCAACACCAAAUAACACUUAUUUAGUUUCAACACUAAUCCCGAAAGUAUAGGGAGUGCGCGAUGAUCAUAUCAAUCUUGGAACUACUUCCAACACUCAUCGUCACUUCCCCUUCAACUAGUCUUUGUUUAUUCUGCAACUCCCGUUUCGAGUUUACUAAUCUUAGCAACUGAACUAGUAUCAAAUACUGAGGGGUUGCUAUAAACACUAGUAAAGUACACAUCAAUAACAUGUAUAUCAAAUAUACUUAUGUUCAUUUUGCCAUCCUUAUUAUCUGCCAAUCACUUGGGGUAGUUCCGCUUCCAGUGACCAGUCCCUUUGCAGUAGAAACACUUAGUCUCAGGCUUAGGACCAGACUUGGGCUUCUUCACUUUGAGCAGCAACUUGCUUGCUGUUCUUCUUGAAGUUCCCCUUCUUCCCUCUGCCCUUUUCUUGAAACUAGUGGUCUUUUCAAUCAUCAACACUUGAUGCUCUUUCUUGAUUUUUACCUUCGUUGAUUUCAAUAUCACGAAGAGCUCAGGAAUCAUUUUCGUCAUCCCUUGCAUACUAUAGUUCAUCACGAAGUUCAGUAACAUAGUGAUGGUGACUUGAGAAUUCUGUCAAUCACUAUCUUAUCUGGAAGAUUAACUCCCACUUGAUUCAAGCGAUUGAAGUACUCAGACAAUCUGAGCACAUGCUCACUAGUUGAGCGAUUCUCCGCUAUCUUUUAGCUAUAGAACUUGUUGGAGAUUUCAUAUCUCUCAACUCGGGUAUUUGCUUGAAAUACUAACUUCAAAUACUGGAACAUCUCAUAUGGUCCAUGAUGUUCAAAACAUCUUUGAAGUCCCGAUUCUAAGCCAUAAAGCAUGGUGCACAUAACUAUCCAGUAGUCAUCAUAUUGAGCUAGCCAAACGUUCAUAACGUUUGCAUUUGCUCCUGCAAUAGGUCCGUCACCUAGCGGUGCAUCAAGGACAUAAUUCUUCUGUGCAGCAAUGAGGAUAAACCUCAGAUCACGGAUCCAAUCCGCAUCUUUGCUACUAACAUCUUUCAACACAAUUUUCUCUAGGAACAUAUCAGAAUAAACAUAUGAAAGCAACAACGCGAGCUAUUGAUCUACAACAUAGAUAUGCUAAUACUAUCAGGACUAAGUUCAUGAUAAAUUAAAGUUCAAUUAAUCAUAUUACUAAAGAACUCCCACUUAGAUAGACAUCCCUCUAAUCCUCUAAGUGAUCACGUGAUCCAAAUCAACUAAACCAUGACCGAUCAUCACGUGAGAUGGAGUAGUUUUCAGUGGUGAACAUCGUUAUGUUGAUCAUAUCUACUAUAUGAUUCACGCUCGACCUUUCGGUCUCCGUGUUCCGAGGCCAUAUCUGCAUAUGCUAGGCUCGUCAAGUUUAACCUGAGUAUUCUGCGUGUGCAAAAACUGGCUUGCACCCGUUGUAGAUGGACGUAGAGCUUAUCACACCCGAUCAUCACGUGGUGUCUGGGCACGACGAACUUUGGCAACGGUGCAUACUCAGGGAGAACACUUCUUGAUAAUUUAGUGAGAGAUCAUCUUAUAAUGCUACCGUCAAUCAAAGCAAGAUAAGAUGCAUAAAAAGAUAAACAUCACAUGCAAUCAANNNNNNNNNNNNNNNNNNNNNNNNNNNNNNNNNNNNNNNNNNNNNNNNNNNNNNNNNNNNNNNNNNNNNNNNNNNNNNNNNNNNNNNNNNNNNNNNNNNNUGUUCCCCACAAUAUACCGGGGGUGCGCAUUAGGCGAUUCGAAGGAGUUUACUGUACAUAGAAGUAAUUUGUGGUUGUGCGAGUUAAACUACCUAUCUUGUGUUUUUACCUUAUAUAACAAGGAUGUCAUCAUGUGACAAAAACUUUCAUCUCAUUUUUUAUGUGCAAGAGUUUUGUGAAGAGGCCCACUUGGACUGCAGAAUUCCUAUAGGCUUUAUAAUCGAGAUCCAAGAUUUUUUUAUCCUUUUCCGUUUGACCAUUUCUUUGAAUCAAAAGAAUGAGUAUGUGAUGCCAUUUCUUAUGAAUUCAAGAGGCAUUACUGUUCCAACAUAUUCAAAGCACAUAUUCUGACUAUAGUUUGGUAGUCUGGAGCAAGAUUUCUCGCAAUAUUCGGAAGAAAACCUCCUCGAUGACUGCUCGUCAGAAGAAAUCCGACAACAUUGUGGUCUCUCCUAAAGUUGGAAUUAUCACUCGCGGCAGAAUGUCAAACGUAAAUGAUAUGGCUUCCUUGGAAACAAAUCACACUACAGUUCCAAGAGGUAUCUUUCUUACUUUCAUGUUGCAACUAUGAAGAUAAUUCUAAUGAAAAUAUUGCAUAUAAAUUAAUCUUUUGUCACAUAUGAUGAAAUACCAGGACAUUGUGUGACACCUACCUUCGAAAUAACCGUGCAGUCGGAUGAGGGGCUUAAUCUUUCUGUGGAUCUAAACUCCACUCAAUCAGAGUACACUAAAAUAUAUUCACAACAACUUGGGGAUGUUUCUAGAGAGGCUCAACUUGAAGCUCCAACAGAAAAUGCAGAGGUAGAAGAAAUGGCUGUGGAAGACAAUAUAGGUUGUGGCGACAUGUUACCACCAGUUCCUAGAGGGGAAGAAUUUAAAGCCCAGGUAGAAAAUGAAGAGAGGAAAGAAGUUUCGAUGGAAGAAGAAAUAGGUUGUGCUGACAAGUUGAUAGUUACUGAAGGGACCCAACUUACCCUUAGCAGGGACAAACAUGAAUCCCCUAUGAAAACUGAACUAGUCGCUCAAGAAGUAGUAAUGGAAGAAGAUAUAGGUUGUGACGAUAAUUUGCCAGGUUGAAAUCAAGUGCUGAUCUCACAUGCCAAUCAAGAUGCUGGCUUUACAAAUCAUUCUCCUAAUGAGGUCUUGAACCACACAAGCUCAAUGCUACCAUCUAUUGGUUCGGUAAUUUCAUUGAACCAUUUAUAGUACUAUUUUUUCCAUUUGAUUCUACUAUAUACUUUACUUCCUUUCAUCGAAGAAAUAUCGUCUUGGGUACUUUUUUUGAUCCAUUUUUGAUACUGCCGCAACACUGCAUGUUUCUUUUCACCAAACUAAAUAUUUACUUGUUACUCCCUUUGAUCCAACAUAAGUGUAGCUUUAAUUCAAACCUGCUGACACUUAUUAUGAAUCAGAGGGAGUACUAAUAAAAUGAAAAAGUUUAGCCUUUCAUUGUUUCUUCCCUUCUUUGAGUCCGAUAGUAUUGUGAAUUGCUUACUAGGUGUUAUUGUUGUUUGAUCACUCUUAUCUUUUUGUUGUUAGUUUCAAAUUGUUUUCAUUUUUCUUGUUUAACAAGUAGGUCUCGGUCAGCAAAAGAGUGCAUCAUCCUACCAUUAGAAAAAAAACAAAAAGAAAAAAUAGAAAUGAGAUAUGAUUUUGGUAGGAAUUAAUCAUUUUCAUGAUAUAUAGACUGUAUAUGGUAAAAGAACGCGUGUGUGCUUGUGCCUCGCUUCCACGCGCUCGCACAACACUGGCCAUCUUUGUCCAAUUGUCCUCUUUCCACUUUCUUCCAUUCCCUUCACAAGUGAGCGUGUUCCCUUGACCCUAAUUAACCCACCUAGCUAGGCACCCAACCGCCGUAGCAAGCCCCCAGAACCCUAGCUAGGUAUUGGCGAUCGAGGCAUAAUCAUUUAACCCCCGGACAUGGUGAAGAUGGUAACAAAGAUGAAGGGAGUGACUCCGUGGGCACAGGAGCAGCCCGGCACGGCCACAGAGAAGCAACUCAUCGUCAUGCAGGAGGUGAGUGGAUCACGCAUACACGUAGUUCUUUUUGGUUGGAUAGUUGGUAGAUCUGAUCGUGGUUUACGCAGACACUCAUAUUGCUUGGUUUUGGCUGCUCUAGUGGAUAGAUCGGACGGAGUUAAUUCUUAUUGUUGGGCUGCACUAGUCAAUCUAAAUCUGAUCGUGGUAGGGGAUCGAUAGAUCUGAGAUGAAUCAGACAUAGAAAUGCUCUCACGCGGCUAGUUUGAUUUGAUGAUUACUCGAUCGUGCGACUAUGGGAGGUCCUCGGCGUCCGAAUUUUGCCGCCGCAACUUUGCUCGAGUGCAUCCUAGUUGGUCUUCUGAUGCGUCCUAUUGGUGGCGGCUGUCCAGGCAUACCCUCCGCAAGUGGUGGCGGCGAUGCACUGACGAGUAGGAAGAAAGGAUGCGUCGGGUGCAGGAGGAAGAAGGUGGUGGUCCUAAAAGAUAUAUAUUAUACUCCCUCCGUCCCGAAUUACUUGUCUAGAAAUGGAUGUAUCUAGAGCUAAAAAUAUGUCUAGAUACAUCCAUUCUUGCGAGAAGUAAUUUGUGACAGAGGGAGUACUAUGAAAAUAUAUUAUUUGUACAUUAGGAAAAUGGGUAGCAUGAACCUCAAGUAACUAGCUUCCACUUGGAUUCUACUUUGAAACCCUUUGUGGUUGCUGCCUGGGAAGAGGUCGACUUUGACCUGACACUCUAGCCACUCGUCGUACACUCCCAGAACCCUCCCUAUGUACACAGCAUAGCACUCCUUGGUCAUCGAUCUAUAUCCCUAACAGAGUUGCAUCGUCAUCAGCCAAAUUCAUCGAUAAUAUGCAACAUGAUAUACGUAAGCAACUCGAAGAGAAAGAGUUAGCAAAGAGAAGCAACAUAUAGUAAACAUAAUUAACAAAGUGCAGCAAUGAGGAUAAACCUCAGAUCACGGAUCCAAUCCGCAUCUUUGCUACUAACAUCUUUCAACACAAUUUUCUCUAGGAACAUAUCAGAAUAAACAUAUGAAAGCAACAACGCGAGCUAUUGAUCUACAACAUAGAUAUGCUAAUACUAUCAGGACUAAGUUCAUGAUAAAUUAAAGUUCAAUUAAUCAUAUUACUAAAGAACUCCCACUUAGAUAGACAUCCCUCUAAUCCUCUAAGUGAUCACGUGAUCCAAAUCAACUAAACCAUGACCGAUCAUCACGUGAGAUGGAGUAGUUUUCAGUGGUGAACAUCGUUAUGUUGAUCAUAUCUACUAUAUGAUUCACGCUCGACCUUUCGGUCUCCGUGUUCCGAGGCCAUAUCUGCAUAUGCUAGGCUCGUCAAGUUUAACCUGAGUAUUCUGCGUGUGCAAAAACUGGCUUGCACCCGUUGUAGAUGGACGUAGAGCUUAUCACACCCGAUCAUCACGUGGUGUCUGGGCACGACGAACUUUGGCAACGGUGCAUACUCAGGGAGAACACUUCUUGAUAAUUUAGUGAGAGAUCAUCUUAUAAUGCUACCGUCAAUCAAAGCAAGAUAAGAUGCAUAAAAAGAUAAACAUCACAUGCAAUCAAUAUAAGUGAUAUGAUAUGGCCAUCAUCAUCUCGUGCUUGUGAUCUCCAUCUCUGAAGCACCGUCAUGAUCACCAUCGUCACCGGCGCGACACCUUGAUCUCCAUCGUAGCAUCGUUGUCGUCCCGCCAAUCUUAUGCUUCCACGACUAUCACUACCGUUUAGUAAUAAAGUAAAGCAUUACAUCGCGAUUGCAUUGCAUACAAUAAAGCGACAACCAUAUGGCUCCUGCCAGUUGCCGAUAACUCGGUUACAAAACAUGAUCAUCUCAUACAAUAAAAUUCAGCAUCAUGCCUUGACCAUAUCACAUCACAACAUGCCCUGCAAAAACAAGUUAGAUGUCCUCUACUUUGUUGUUGCAUGUUUUACGUGGCUGCUACGGGCUUAAGUAAGAACCAAUCUCACCUACGCAUCAAAACCACAACGAUAGUUUGUCAAAUAGACUCCGUUUUAACCUUCGCAAGGACCGGGCGUAGCCAUACUUGGUUCAACUAAAGUUGGAGAGGCAGUCGCCCGCAAGCCAUCUCUGUGCAAAGCACGUCGAGGGAACCGGUCUCGCGUAAGCGUACGCGUAAGGUUGGUCCGGGUCGUCUCGUCCAACAAUACCGCCGAACCAAAGUAUGACAUGCUGGUAGGCAGUAUGACUUGUAUCGUCCACAACUUACUUGUGUUCUACUCGUGCAUAUAACAUCAACAUCAAUAACCUAGGCUCUGAUACCACUGUUGGGUUUCGUAGUAAUUUCAAAAAUUUUCCUACGCGCACACAGGAUCAUGUGAUGCAUAGCAACGAGAGGAGAGUGUUGUCUACGUACCCAACGCAGACCGACUGCGGAAGCGAUGACACGACGUAGAGGAAGUAGUCGUACGUCUUCACGAUCCAACCGAUCAAGCACCGAAACUACGGCACCUCCGAGUUCGAGCACACGUUCAGCUCGAUGACGAUCCCCGGACUCCGAUCCAGCAAAGUGUCAGGGAAGAGUUUCGUCAGCACGACGGCGUGGUGACGAUCUUGAUGAACUACAGCAGCAGGGCUUCGCCUAAACUCCGCUACAGUAUUAUCGAGGAAUAUGGUGGCAGGGGGCACCGCACACGGCUAAGGAAUCGAUCACGUGGAUCAACUUGUGUCAACUUGUGUGUUUAGAGGUGCCCCUGCCUCAGUAUAUAAAGGAGCCAAGGGGGGGAGGAGGCGCCGGCCAGGAGGAGGUGGCGCAGGAGGAGUCCGAUGUCCAAACAUAGACUUCCAAUAUAUCAAUCUUUAUGUCUCGACCAUUUCGAGACUCCUCGUCAUGUCCGUGAUCACAUCCGGGACUCCGAACAACCUUCGGUACAUCAAAAUGCAUAAACUCAUAAUAUAACUGUCAUCGUAACCUUAAGCGUGCGGACCCUACGGGUUCGAGAACAAUGUAGACAUGACCGAGACACGUCUCUGGUCAAUAACCAAUAGCGGGACCUGGAUGCCCAUAUUGGCUCCUACAUAUUCUACGAAGAUCUUUAUCGGUCAGACCGCAUAACAACAUACGUUGUUCCCUUUGUCAUCGGUAUGUUACUUGCCCGAGAUUCGAUCGUCGGUAUCCAAUACCUAGUUCAAUCUCGUUACCGGCAAGUCUCUUUACUCGUUCCGUAAUACAUCAUCUCACAACUAACAUAUUAGUUGUAAUGCUUGCAAGGCUUAUGUGAUGUGUAUUACCGAGAGGGCCCAGAGAUACCUCUCCAACAAUUGGAGUGACAAAUCCUAAUCUCGAAAUACGCCAACCCAACAUCGACCAUUGGAGACACCUGUAGUACUCCUUUAUAAUCACCCAGUUACGUUGUGACGUUUGGUAGUACCCAAAGUAUUCCUCCGGUAAACGGGAGUUGCAUAAUCUCAUAGUCAUAGGAACAUGUAUAAGUCAUGAAGAAAGCAAUAGCAACAUACUAAACGAUCAGGUGCUAAGCUAAUGGAAUGGGUCAUGUCAAUCAGAUCAUUCAACUAAUGAUGUGACCUCGUUAAUCAAAUAACAACUCAUUGUUCAUGGUUAGGAAACAUAACCAUCUUUGAUUAACGAGCUAGUCAAGUAGAGGCAUACUAGUGACACUUUGUUUGUCUAUGUAUUCACACAUGUAUUAUGUUUCCGGUUAAUACAAUUCUAGCAUGAAUAAUAAACAUUUAUCAUGAAAUAAGGAAAUAAAUAAUAACUUUAUUAUUGCCUCUAGGGCAUAUUUCCUUCACCCCGGAACCCUUCCGGUGGCCCCGGUACAAUACCGGUAUGACCCCGAAACUUCCCGGUGUCUGUUUGACAACUUCCCAUAUAUAAAUCUUUACCUCCGGAUCCUUCCGGAUCUCCUCGUGACGUCCAGGAUCCCAUCCGGGACUCCGAACAACAUUCGGUAGUCACAUACUAGUCUUCCUAAUAACCCUAGCGUCACCGAACCUUAAGUGUGUAGACCCUACGGGUUCGGGAGACAUGCAGACAUGACCGAGACGCUCUCAGUCAAUAACCAAUAGCGGGAUCUGGAUACCCAUGAUGGCUCCCACAUGCUCCUCGAUGUUGUCAUCGGAUGAACCACGAUGUCGAGGAUUCGAUCAAACCCUGUAUGCAAUCCCCUUUGUCAAUCGGUACGUUACUUGCCCGAGACUCGAUCGUCGGUAUCCCAAUACCUUGUUCAGUCUCGUUACCGGCAAGUCACUUUACUCGUACCGUAAUGCAUGAUCCCGUGUCCAACACCUUGGUCACAUUGAGCUCAUUAUGAUGAUGCAUUACCGAGUGGGCCCAGAGAUACCUCUCCGUCAUACGGAGUGACAAAUCCCAGUCUCGAUCCGUGUCAACCCAACAGCUACUUUCGGAGAUACCUGUAAUGCACCUUUAUAGUCACCCAGUUACGUUGUGACGUUUGAUACACCCAAGGCACUCUUACGGUAUCCGGGAGUUACACGAUCUCAUGGUCGAAGGAAGAGAUACUUGACACUAGCAAAGCUCUAGCAAAAUGAACUACACGAUCUUUUAUGCUAUGCUUAGGAUUGGGUCUUGUCCAUCACAUCAUUCUCCUAAUGAUGUGAUCCCGUUAUCAAUGACAUCCAAUGUCCAUAGUCAGGAAACCAUGACUAUCUGUUGAUCACAACGAGCUGGUCAACUAGAGGCUCACCAGGGACAUAUUGUGGUCUAAGUAUUCACACGUGUAUUACGAUUUCCGGAUAAUACAGUUAUAGCAUGAAUAAAAGACAUUUAUCAUGAACAUUGAAAUAUAAUAAUACUUUUAUUAUUGCCUCUAGGGCAUAUUUCCAACAGUCUCCCACUUGCACUAGAGUCACCAAUCUAGUUACAUUGUGAUGAAUCGAACACCCAUAGAGUUCUGGUGUUGAUCAUGUUUUGCACGCGAGAGAGGUUUAGUCAGCGGAUCUGCGACAUUCAGAUCCGUGUGCACUUUGCAAAUCUCUAUAUCUCCAUCUUGAACAUUUUCACGGAUAGAGUUGAAACGACGCUUGAUGUGCCUGGUCUUCUUGUGAAACCUGGGCUCCUUGGCGAGGGCAAUAGCUCCAGUGUUGUCACAGAAGAGUUUGAUCGGCCCCGACGCAUUGGGUAUGACUCCUAGGUCGGUGAUGAACUCCUUCACCCAGAUCGCUUCAUGCGCUGCCUCCGAGGCUGCCAUGUACUCCGCUUCACACGUAGAUCCCGCCACGACGCUCUGCUUGCAGCUGCACCAGCUUACUGCUCCACCAUUCAACAUAUACACGUAUCCGGUUUGUGACUUAGAGUCAUCCAGAUCUGAGUCGAAGCUAGCGUCGACGUAACCCUUUACGAUGAGCUCUUCGUCUCUUCCGUAAACGAGAAACAUGUCCUUCGUCCUUUUCAGGUACUUCAGGAUAUUCUUGACCGCUGUCCAGUGUUCCUUGCCGGGAUUACUUUGGUAUCUUGCUACCAAACUUACGGCAAGGUUUACAUCGGGUCUGGUACACAGCAUGGCAUACAUAAUAGAUCCUAUGGCUGAAGCAUAGGGGAUGACACUCAUCUCUUCUUUAUCUUUUGCCGUGGUCGGUGACUGAGCCGAGCUCAAUCUCACACCUUGUAACAUAGGCAAGAACCCCUUCUUGGAUUGAUCCAUUUUGAACCUCUUCAAAAUCUUAUCAAGGUAUGUGCUUUGUGAAAGACCUAUGAGGCGUCUCGAUCUAUCUCUAUAGAUCUUGAUGCCUAAUAUAUAAGCAGCUUCUCCAAGGUCCUUCAUUGAAAAACACUUAUUCAAGUAGGCCUUAAUGCUGUCCAGAAAUUCUAUAUUAUUUCCCAUCAAGAGUAUGUCAUCUACAUAUAAUAUGAGAAAUGCUACAGAGCUCCCACUCACUUUCUUGUAAACGCAGGCUUCUCCAUAAGUCUGCAUAAACCCAAACGCUUUGAUCAUCUCAUCAAAGCGAAUGUUCCAACUCCGAGAUGCUUGCACCAGUCCAUAAAUGGAUCGCUGGAGCUUGCAUACUUUGUUAGCGUUCCGAGGAUCGACAAAACCUUCCAGCUGCAUCAUAUACAGUUCUUCCUUAAGAUUCCCAUUAAGGAAUGCCGUUUUGACGUCCAUUUGCCAUAUCUCAUAAUCAUAGUAUGCGGCAAUUGCUAACAUGAUUCGGACGGACUUCAGCUUCGCUACGGGAGAGAAAGUCUCGUCGUAGUCAAUCCCUUGAACUUGUCGAUAACCCUGAGCGACAAGUCGAGCCUUAUAGAUUGUAACAUUACCAUCCGCGUCCGUCUUCUUCUUAAAGAUCCAUUUGUUUUCUAUCGCUCGCCGAUCAUCGGGCAAGUUUGUCAAAGUCCAUACUUUGUUUUCAUACAUGGAUUCUAUCUCAGAUUUCAUGGCUUCAAGCCAUUUGUUGGAAUCCGGGCCCGCCAUCGCUUCUUCAUAGUUCAAAGGUUCAUUGUUGUCUAACAACAUGAUUUCCAGGACAGGGUUGCCGUACCACUCUGGUGCGGAACGUGUCCUUGUGGACCUACGAAGUUCAGCAGUAACUUGAUCCAAAGUACCUUGAUCAUCAUCAUUGUUUUCCUCUUCAGUCGGUGUGGGCAUCACAGGAACGGUUUCCUGCGCUGCGCCACUUUCCCGCUCAAGAGGUAGUACUUCAUCGAGUUCUACUUUCCUCCCACUUACUUCUUUCGAGAGAAACUCUUUUUCCAGAAAGCAUCCGUUCUUGGCAACAAAGAUCUUGCCUUCGGAUCUUAAGUAGAAGGUAUACCCGACAGUUUCCUUAGGGUAUCCUAUGAAUACACAUUUUUUCGACUUGGGUUCGAGCUUUUCAGGUUGAAGUUUCUUGACAUAAGCAUCGCAUCCCCAAAACUUUUAGAAACGACAGCUUAGGUUUCUUUCCAAACCAUAAUUCAUACGGUGUCGUCUCAACGGAUUUAGACGGUGCCCUAUUUAAAGUGAAUGUAGCUGUCUCUAGAGCGUAUCCCCAAAAUGAUAGCGGUAAAUCGGUAUGAGACAUCAUAGACCGCACCAUAUCCAAUAGGGUGCGAUUACGACGUUCGGACACACCGUUUCGCUGAGGUGUUCCAGGCGGCGUGAGCUGUGAAACGAUUCCACAUUUCCUUAAGUGUGUACCAAAUUCGUGACUUAAGUAUUCUCCUCCACGAUCUGAUCAUAAGAAUUUUAUCUUUCGGUCACGUUGAUUCUCUACCUCAUUCUGAAAUCCUUGAACUUUUCAAAGGUCUCAGACUUGUGUUUCAUUAAGUAGACAUACCCAUAUCUACUCAAGUCAUCUGUGAGAGUGAGAACAUAACGAUAUCCUCCGCGAGCCUCAACGCUCAUUGGACCGCACACAUCGGUAUGUAUAAUUUCCAACAAGUUGGUUGCUCGCUCGAUUGUUCCGGAGAACAGAGUCUUGGUCAUUUUGCCCAAAAGGCAUGGUUCGCACGUGUCAAACGAUUCAUAAUCAAGAGACUCUAAAAGUCCAUCGGCAUGGAGCUUCUUCAUGCGCUUGACACCAAUGUGACCAAGGCGGCAGUGCCACAAGUAUGUGGGACUAUCGUUAUCAACUUUAAAUCUUUUGGCAUCUACACUAUGAACAUGUGUAAUAUUACGCUCGAGAUUCAUUAAGAAUAAACCAUUGACCAUCGGAGCAUGACCAUAAAACAUAUCUCUCAUAUAAAUCGAACAACCAUUAUUCUCAGACUUAAAUGAGUAGCCAUCUCGUAUUAAACGAGAUCCAGAUACAAUGUUCAUGCUCAAACUUGGCACUAAAUAACAAUUAUUAAGGUUCAAAACUAAUCCCGUAGGUAAAUGUAGAGGCAGCGUGCCGACGGCGAUCACAUCGACUCUGGAACCAUUCCCGACGCGCAUCGUCACCUCGUCCUUCGCCAGUNNNNNNNNNNNNNNNNNNNNNNNNNNNNNNNNNNNNNNNNNNNNNNNNNNNNNNNNNNNNNNNNNNNNNNNNNNNNNNNNNNNNNNNNNNNNNNNNNNNNNNNNNNNNNNNNNNNNNNNNNNNNNNNNNNNNNNNNNNNNNNNNNNNNNNNNNNNNNNNNNNNNNNNNNNNNNNNNNNNNNNNNNNNNNNNNNNNNNNNNNNNNNNNNNNNNNNNNNNNNNNNNNNNNNNNNNNNNNNNNNNNNNNNNNNNNNNNNNNNNNNNNNNNNNNNNNNNNNNNNNNNNNNNNNNNNNNNNNNNNNNNNNNNNNNNNNNNNNNNNNNNNNNNNNNNNNNNNNNNNNNNNNNNNNNNNNNNNNNNNNNNNNNNNNNNNNNNNNNNNNNNNNNNNNNNNNNNNNNNNNNNNNNNNNNNNNNNNNNNNNNNNNNNNNNNNNNNNNNNNNNNNNNNNNNNNNNNNNNNNNNNNNNNNNNNNNNNNNNNNNNNNNNNNNNNNNNNNNNNNNNNNNNNNNNNNNNNNNNNNNNNNNNNNNNNNNNNNNNNNNNNNNNNNNNNNNNNNNNNNNNNNNNNNNNNNNNNNNNNNNNNNNNNNNNNNNNNNNNNNNNNNNNNNNNNNNNNNNNNNNNNNNNNNNNNNNNNNNNNNNNNNNNNNNNNNNNNNNNNNNNNNNNNNNNNNNNNNNNNNNNNNNNNNNNNNNNNNNNNNNNNNNNNNNNNNNNNNNNNNNNNNNNNNNNNNNNNNNNNNNNNNNNNNNNNNNNNNNNNNNNNNNNNNNNNNNNNNNNNNNNNNNNNNNNNNNNNNNNNNNNNNNNNNNNNNNNNNNNNNNNNNNNNNNNNNNNNNNNNNNNNNNNNNNNNNNNNNNNNNNNNNNNNNNNNNNNNNNNNNNNNNNNNNNNNNNNNNNNNNNNNNNNNNNNNNNNNNNNNNNNNNNNNNNNNNNNNNNNNNNNNNNNNNNNNNNNNNNNNNNNNNNNNNNNNNNNNNNNNNNNNNNNNNNNNNNNNNNNNNNNNNNNNNNNNNNNNNNNNNNNNNNNNNNNNNNNNNNNNNNNNNNNNNNNNNNNNNNNNNNNNNNNNNNNNNNNNNNNNNNNNNNNNNNNNNNNNNNNNNNNNNNNNNNGAGUUACUACGAGUACUGGUAAUGUACACAUCAAUCACAUGUAUAUCAAAUAUACCUUUGGUGUUGCCGGCCUUCUUAUCCGCUAAGUAUUUGGGGCAGUUCCGCUUCUAGUGACCCUUCCCCUUGCAAUAAAAGCACUCAGUCUCAGGCUUGGGUCCAUUCUUUGACUUCUUCCCGGUAACUGGCUUACCAGGCGCGGCAACAUCUUUGCCGUCCUUCUUGAAGUUCUUCUUACCCUUGCCCUUCUUGAACUUAGUGGUCUUAUUGACCAUCAACACUUGAUGUUCUUUCUUGAUUUCAACCUCUGCUGACUUCAGCAUCGAGAACACUUCAGGAAUGGUCUUUUCCAUCCCCUGCAUGUUGUAGUUCAUCACAAAGCUCUUGUAGCUUGGUGGGAGCGACUGGAGGAUUCUGUCAAUGACCGCCUCAUCUGGGAGGUUAAUGUUCAGCUGGGUCAUACGGCUGUGCAACCCAGACAUCUUCAGGAUGUGCUCACUGACAGAACUGUUUUCCUCCAUCUUACAACUGUAGAACUUGUCGGAGACGUCAUAUCUCUCGACCCGGGCAUGAGCUUGAAAAACUAGUUUCAGCUCUUCGAACAUCUCAUAUGCUCCGUGGUGUUCAAAACGCUUUUGGAACCCCGGUUCUAAGCUGUAAAGCAUGCCGCACUGAACGAGGGAGUAAUCAUCAGCACGAGACUGCCAAGCAUUCAUAAUGUCUUGGUUCUCUGGGACGGGAGCGUCACCUAGCGGUCCUUCUAGGACCUAUUGUUUCCUGGAAGCUAUGAGGAUGAUCCUCAGGUUCCGGACCCAGUCCGUAUAGUUGCUGCCAUCAUCUUUCAGCUUGGUUUUCUCUAGGAACGCGUUGAAGUUCAUGUUGACAUUAGCGUUGGCCAUUGAUCUACAAGACAUAUUUGCAAAGGUUUUAGACUAAGUUCAUGAUAAUAAAGUUCUAAUCAAAUUAUGAACUCCCACUUAGAUUAGACAUCCCUCUAGUCAUCUAAGUGUUACACGAUCCGAGUCGACUAGCCCGUGUCCGAUCAUCACGUGAGACGGACUAGUCAUCGUCGGUGAACAUUCUCAUGUUGAUCGUAUCUUCCAUACGAUUCGUGUUCGACCUUUCGGUCUCCGUGUUCCGAGGCCAUGUCUGCACAUGCUAGGCUCGUCAAGUGAACCCUAAGUGUUUUUGCUGUGUAAAACUGUCUUACACCCGUUGUAUGUGAACGUAAGAAUCCAUCACACCCGAUCAUCACGUGGUGCUUAGAAGCGACGAACUGUAGCAAUGGUGCACAGUUAGGGGAGAACACUUCUUGAAAUUUUAUAAGGGAUCAUCUUAUUUACUACCGUCGUCCUAAGUAAACAAGAUGCAUAAUACACAAUAAACAUCACAUGCAAUUAUAUAGUUGUGACAUGAUAUGGCCAAUAUCAUAUAGCUCCAUUGAUCUUCAUCUUCGGGGCUCCAUGAUCAUCUUGUCACCGUCUUGACACCAUGAUCUCCAUCAUCAUGAUCUCCAUCAUCGUGUCUUCAUGAAGUUGUCACGCCAACGACUACUUCUACUUCUAUGACUAACGUUUAGCAAUAAAGUAAAGUAGUUUACAUGGCGUUAUUCAAUGACACGCAGGUCAUACAAAAAAUAAAGACAACUCCUAUGGCUCCUGCCGGUUGUCAUACUCCUCGACAUGCAAGUCGUGAAUCCUAUUACAAAGAACAUGAUCUCAUACAUCACAAUUCAUCAUUCAUCACAACUUCUGGCCAUAUCACAUCACAUGAUCAAUCGCUGCAAAAACAAGUUAGACGUCCUCUAAUUGUUGUUGCAUCUUUUACGUGGCUGCAAUUGGGUUCUAGCAAGAAUGUUUUCUUACCUACGAAUCACCACAACGUGAUUUUGUCAACUUCUAUUUACCCUUCAUAAGGGCCCUGUUCAUCGAUUCCGCUCCAACUAAAGUGGGAGAGACAGACACCCGCCAGCCACCUUAUGCAACUAGUGCAUGUUAGUCGGUGGAACCGGUCUCACGUAAGCGUACGUGUAAGGUUGGUCCGGGCCGCUUCAUCCCACAAUACCGUUGAGCAAGAAAAGACUAGUAGAGGCAAGUAAGAUGACAAAAUCCACGCCCACAACAAAAUUGUGUUCUACUCGUGCAAAGAGAACUACGCAUAGACCUAGCUCAUGAUGCCACUGUUGGGGAACGUUGUAGAAAACUAAAAAUUUUCCUACGGUUUCACCAAGAUCCAUCUAUGAGUUCAUCUAAUCAACGAGUCAAGGGAGAGAGUUUGCAUCUACAUACCACUUGUAGAUCGCGUGCGGAAGCUUGCAAGGUGAUGAUGUAGUCGUACUCGACGUGAUUCGAAUCACCGAUGACCAAGUGCUGAACAGACAGCACCUCCGCGUUCAACACACGUACGGGACGGGAGACGUCUCCUCCUUCUUGAUCCAGCAAGGGGGAAGGAGAGGUUGAUGAAGACAGCUCCACCGGCAGCACGACGACGUGGUGAUGGUGGAGAGGCAGUACUCCGACAGGGCUUCGCCAAGCACACAACGGAGGAGGAGAGGUAUUGGGGAGGGGAGGGCUGCGCCUUGGAGGGUGGUACGGCUGCCCUCCCCUCACCCCUCUAUUUAUAGGGGGAAGGGAGAGGGGGCCGGCCCCCUAGAACCCAUCUAGGGGGGGUGCGGCGGCCUAGGGGAGAGGGGAGAGGGUGGCUUGCCCCCCAAGCCAAGGGGGCGCCCCCUCUAGGGUUCCCCCCCUCAACGCUAGGCGCAUGGGCCCAAGGGAGGGGGUGCGGCCAGCCCACCAGGGGCUGGCUCCCUGCCCCACGCAGCCCAUGUGGCCCCCCCCGGGAGGGGUGGCCCCUCCCGGUGGACCCCCGGAACCCUUCCGGUGGCCCCGGUACAAUACCGGUAUGACCCCGAAACUUCCCGGUGUCUGUUUGACAACUUCCCAUAUAUAAAUCUUUACCUCCGGAUCCUUCCGGAUCUCCUCGUGACGUCCAGGAUCCCAUCCGGGACUCCGAACAACAUUCGGUAGUCACAUACUAGUCUUCCUAAUAACCCUAGCGUCACCGAACCUUAAGUGUGUAGACCCUACGGGUUCGGGAGACAUGCAGACAUGACCGAGACGCUCUCAGUCAAUAACCAACAGCGGGAUCUGGAUACCCAUGAUGGCUCCCACAUGCUCCUCGAUGUUGUCAUCGGAUGAACCACGAUGUCGAGGAUUCGAUCAAACCCUGUAUGCAAUCCCCUUUGUCAAUCGGUACGUUACUUGCCGGAGACUCGAUCGUCGGUAUCCCAAUACCUUGUUCAGUCUCGUUAUCGGCAAGUCACUUUACUCGUACCGUAAUGCAUGAUCCCGUGUCCAACACCUUGGUCACAUUGAGCUCAUUAUGAUGAUGCAUUACCGAGUGGGCCCAGAGAUACCUCUCCGUCAUACGGAGUGACAAAUCCCAGUCUCGAUCCGUGUCAACCCAACAACUACUUUCGGAGAUACCUGUAAUGCACCUUUAUAGUCACCCAGUUACGUUGUGACAUUUGAUACACCCAAGGCACUCUUACGGUAUCCGGGAGUUACACGAUCUCAUGGUCGAAGGAAGAGAUACUUGACACUGGCAAAGCUCUAGCAAAACGAACUACACGAUCUUUUAUGCUAUGCUUAGGAUUGGGUCUUGUCCAUCACAUCAUUCUCCUAAUGAUGUGAUCCCGUUAUCAAUGACAUCCAAUGUCCAUAGUCAGGAAACCAUGACUAUCUGUUGAUCACAACGAGCUGGUCAACUAGAGGCUCACCAGGGACAUAUUGUGGUCUAAGUAUUCACACGUGUAUUACGAUUUCCGGAUAAUACAAUUAUAGCAUGAAUAAAAGACAUUUAUCAUGAACAUUGAAAUAUAAUAAUACUUUUAUUAUUGCCUCUAGGGCAUAUUUCCAACAGAUAUCUUCAAUAACUCAGCUUGGAAUCAGGUCAUUUGCUUGUCCUUCUUUGGAUGCUUUCUUGUGUGUUUAUGAUAUGACAUUUCACUUCAGAUUCUUCACCAUCGUAGAGUUUCAUAGAUCAUCGUGCCUUAAUUUCAUCAAAACAGCCUCGCAAUCUCCAUUCUUGUUCUUGAUUUAUUAACUUUUUAUUGAUCUUGGUUUUACCUCGUAACCAACUUCUUCCUUGCGAGUGCCUUUUUCUACCGAUGAGGAAUUAAGGCCAAAUAUUCAUAAUUAUACUGAAGUAUGUUUUUUUUUGUUGUUGCAACAGAGAUACCUUGUGGUAACACGAUCACCAAUUCUUGGGGGCCUUGCGGCAAUGCGCGACUCAGAAAUAGAUUACACAGUUGAGGCCAUUAUGGUGAACCCUUAGAAUGAAAGCCCCUGGAGAUACCUCAGAGGUUUAUAUAAGGAUGAUAACAAUUUGCUGGUGGCUCCUAAUCGCAUUUCUGAUGCUUGCCUCAAGGUCCUGAAUAAGGACUAGACAUGUGUAUUUGCUUUGAGCUUCCUGCUUGAUCUUCUUCGCAUGGGUUUGUAGCCUUCAGAUGAUCUUAAAGGAACCAUUGAAGCAAUGGAGAACUCUGAUCCUGAAACGGGACAUGCUGAUAUUGCAGUAGCUGUCUGCUCAAUUCUGCAGAAAUGUGAUCCCCUGCAGAUAAACUACUGGUCAUGGUACCAGACCACUCUUUCUUCUUAGACAUUUGAAAAUUCAGCUGAAGAUAGUUUUAGCAGCAUGAUGUAAACUCAAUCGAAGGGGUUGACGCAGUGUAUGAAAAACCUUUCCUGUGAUCUUGGCGCGGAGCAAAAUUUGUACUGAUUUUACCGGGAAAAAUCAAUCAAUGACAGCAUGCCCAACAAUGUCUUGUGUGAAUAUGUUAGUGCCUGAUAUUCACAUGUUAGCAGAAUGAGAAUAAACAACCAAACUCCAAUGAGCAGAUUGUUACAGUAACGGCCACUGGUGGUGUGAAAAUCCUGAAAUCUGCUUCAGUCACUUUGCCUUGUUUACAGUUGAGUCUGUUGUUGUGAUCUGUACCUAAUGCAUGUACACGAUCAUCAAAUUAUUAGUUUUUGUACCAAUGUGUGCUCGAUGUAAUCAUCCUGUAUUCCCUCCUUCCAAAAUACGAGUAAUAUAUAUUAGUUUUGUCUUAAUUUGAACUUACAUCAACACCUACAAUACCCAAUCAGUAUCAGUAGAUGCACCUGUUUUUGUAGUGUAUUUAUUUGGUAUUGUAAGUGCUUGUAUUUCUCUUUUUUUU